CCUACGGGUGGCAGCAGUGAGGAAUAUUGGUCAAUGGACGAGAGUCUGAACCAGCCAAGUAGCGUGAAGGAUGACUGCCCUAUGGGUUGUAAACUUCUUUUAUAUGGGAAUAAAAUGUUCCACGUGUGGGAUUUUGUAUGUACCAUAUGAAUAAGGAUCGGCUAACUCCGUGCCAGCAGCCGCUGUAAUACGGAGGAUCCGAGCGUUAUCCGGAUUUAUUGGGUUUAAAGGGAGCGUAGGUGGAUUGUUAAGUCAGUUGUGAAAGUUUGCGGCUCAACCGUAAAAUUGCAGUUGAAACUGGCAGUCUUGAGGACAGUAGAGGUGGGCGGAAUUCGUGGUGUAGCGGUGAAAUGCUUAGAUAUCACGAAGAACUCCGAUUGCGAAGGCAGUUCACUGGACUGCAACUGACACUGAGGCUCGAAAGUGUGGGUAUCAAACAGGAUUAGAUACCCGAGUAGUC
Molecule: ribosomal RNA, 460 nt
Filed under: uncultured bacterium
Lineage: Bacteria
Description: partial 16S ribosomal RNA
Rfam family: Bacterial small subunit ribosomal RNA
Source: RNAcentral